RNAcentral lists this ribosomal RNA (1114 nucleotides) under uncultured Marinomonas sp. RNAcentral describes it as "bacterial SSU rRNA". It matches the Rfam family "Bacterial small subunit ribosomal RNA", at positions 44 to 1199 of the family's 1533-position model. The record is from RNAcentral. Lineage: Bacteria; Pseudomonadati; Pseudomonadota; Gammaproteobacteria; Oceanospirillales; Oceanospirillaceae.
UGGCGCUUCCAUGCAGUCGAGCGGUAACAGGGAGCUGCUCCUGCUGACAGGGCGGACGGGUGAGUAACGCGUAGGAAUCUGCCUAGUAGAGGGGGACAACAUGUGGAAACGCAUGCUAAUACCGCAUACGCCCUGAGGGGGAAAGGAGGGGACUUUUCGGAGCCUUCCGCUAUUAGAUGAGCCUGCGUGAGAUUAGCUAGUUGGUAGGGUAAAGGCCUACCAAGGCGACGAUCUCUAACUGGUCUGAGAGGAUGACCAGUCACACUGGGACUGAGACACGGCCCAACUCCUACGGGAGGCAGCAGUGGGGAAUAUUGGACAAUGGGCGGAAGCCUGAUCCAGCCAUGCCGCGUGUGUGAAGAAGGCCUUAGGGUUGUAAAGCACUUUCAGGGGUGAGGAAGGGUGACUGGCUAAUAUCCAGUUAUCUUGACGUUAGCCCCAGAAGAAGCACCGGCUAACUCUGUGCCAGCAGCCGCGGUAAUACAGAGGGUGCAAGCGUUAAUCGGAAUUACUGGGCGUAAAGCGCGCGUAGGUGGUUUGUUAAGUCGGAUGUGAAAUCCCAGGGCUCAACCUUGGAAUGGCACCCGAUACUGGCAGGCUAGAGUACGGUAGAGGGGUGUGGAAUUUCCUGUGUAGCGGUGAAAUGCGUAGAUAUAGGAAGGAACAUCAGUGGCGAAGGCGACACCCUGGACUGAUACUGACACUGAGGUGCGAAAGCGUGGGGAGCAAACAGGAUUAGAUACCCUGGUAGUCCACGCCGUAAACGAUGUCUACUAGCCGUUGGGUUGUAAUGACUUAGUGGCGCAGCUAACGCAAUAAGUAGACCGCCUGGGGAGUACGGCCGCAAGGUUAAAACUCAAAUGAAUUGACGGGGGCCCGCACAAGCGGUGGAGCAUGUGGUUUAAUUCGAAGCAACGCGAAGAACCUUACCUACUCUUGACAUCCAGUGAACUUAGCAGAGAUGCUUUGGUGCCUUCGGGAACACUGAGACAGGUGCUGCAUGGUGUCGUCAGCUCGUGUUGUGAAUGUUGGGUUAAGUCCCGUACGAGCGCACCUUCCUUAUUUGGCAUUUUUAGGGACUGCGGAACGGAGAGGAGGCGACAGUCAUCAUACC